RNAcentral lists this long non-coding RNA (7970 nucleotides) under Sus scrofa (pig). RNAcentral describes it as "lncRNA (ENSSSCG00055014341.1)". The record is from RNAcentral. Lineage: Eukaryota; Metazoa; Chordata; Mammalia; Artiodactyla; Suidae.
CAUUGUACUUCUAUUUUGUUCCCUUGGUCAAAUAAGGCAAGUUACUCCCAUAUUGUUCUUCCUCAAAUUGAUUAUUUUAAGUCUAUUAUAUACAGAUUUAGCAUUAGAUUGUUAACUUAUAGAAAAAAUUAUCUUGGUAUUUCUAUUGGAAUUAAAUGUCAUAUGUGAAUGAAUCUGCAGAAACUGACAUUUUUAUGUUAUUUAGUCUUUCCAUCCAUGAACAUUGUAUAUCCCUUCAUUUUUUGGACUUUUUAAUGCUGUUUAAUAAUGCUUGAUAGUUUUCUGUAUAAAGGCUUUUCACAUAUUCUGUUAGAGUUAUUCCUGAGUACUUUAUAUUUUUUGUACAUAUUCUAAAUGGGAUUAUCUCAUAAAUAUUAUGUUUUUCAAUUGUUUAUUGUGAGCACAUAUAUAAUAUUGUUAUUGUGUUUUGUAUGCUCAUCUUGAGAAGAAAGCUUUUAAGGCUAACUUAAAAUAUUUACUAGCACAAGUUUUUAUUAAAUAAUAAAUUUGGCAUUCAUUCUAAUUCAGCUAAAAUAAUGGUUUUAUGGAGAUGAGUUAAUAAUCACAUGCACUGACAUGCUAAAACAUUAUAGACCUUUUGUUUUAAGAUCAUUAAAUUAUAUUGGACCCAGUUUGUUAACACUUAAUGACCCCAUCUAGUGGCCAGUUGAAAUUGUAAGUGAAUUAGAAAAUACACAUAUAGAUCUUAUUGGAUAGCUAUUUUUGUUUAAAGAAUUAUGGUAGCAACAAUAUCUUUCUUGGAAAUGUCAAGAAACAGCAAUGAUUAAGUUGACAAUCAAAAUUAUGUUUGAGGGUUGUGUUACUGAUUUCAAGAUCAGAAUGAGGUAUUCUUACAGAGAAAAUUAUGUAAAACCUCCCAUGCUGGAGCCAAAUUACAUACUGGAGAUUUAAUUUUCAGAAUUGUCAUUCAGGGAGUUAUCAUAGGUCAUGUUCACAUAAUAUUUUAAAAAUAACAUAACCAACAGCUGGCUGGAGUCAAUGCCUAUGACCUUUAUAAUAACAUGAUACUCAGAGUCUAACCUAUUAGAGGACUAUUUCACAAUUAAAUACCCUUUAAAAUGAGGCCUAGUUUUAUAUUUCACUAGUUAAAAUUUUUACUUUGUGUAGCAAAUAACAAAAUUUUUUGCAUAAUUGUACCCAAUUUCAGAAAACGUUGGAACAACUUGCUAAUCACUAAAAAAAGUAUUUUUAACUUAAAAAUGAAUUCAAGAUGUAUUUAAAAUGUAAAUGUACACAAUAAGAUUUUUAUUUUAUUUUAUUUUAUUUUAUUUAUCUUUCUUUUUAGGGCUGCACCCACGGCAUACGGAGGUUCCCAGGAUAGGGUUCAAAUAGGAGAUACGGCUGCCGGCCAAUGCCACAGCCACUGCAACUCAGGAUCCAAGCCAUGUCUGUGACCUACACCAUACUUCACAGCAAUGCCAGGGAUCGAGCCCACAUCCUCAUGGAUACUAGUCAGAAUAGUUUCUGCUGCACCACAGUGGGAACUCCCACAAAAAGAUUUUAAAAAUGGGAAAUUAAAAUACUUGCAAAAGUUAUUUGUGAAGUGGGGAAGACCUAUCUAAUGAUAGAAUCUAUAAGGGUAAAAAAUUAAAAUAUUUUAUAAAACAAUAAAAAAUUAAAGUAAAACAACACUGUCAUGUCUUUGCUAAAGUUUAAAAAAAUGAUGAUUCCCUGUGUUACGCUAAAGGCGAAGACAUCACAAAUAGGCUUACUUGUAUUGCUAGUGGAGAGUAUAUUUAAAAUAAAUGUUCUUAAGGAAAACUUGGCAAUGCUAUCAAAAGCCUUAAAAUAUGUUUAGCCUUUGCCCCAGAAAUUACACUAUUCAGAAUAAUUAUAGGCAUGUAACAGAGCAAAGAUUGUAAGAAUAUCCUUCAUAGCACCAUUUAAAAUAUUUUAAAAUUAUAAAAAAGUAAUUGUCCAUCAGUAGGUGAAUUGGGAAAUUAAUUAGAGGAUAUAUUUACAGUAGAAUUUUAUAUUACUAUUACCCUAAUGUUAUAGAGUAAUAUUUGAAAAGAUUUAAAAUAUUUUUACAUAUUUAAUUAUGUAAUUAAGUAGAAAGAUAUUCUCAGAACAGUAUUAAAUGACGAGCAGAGAAUUACUUGUUAUUUUUUGUUUUUACAAAAUUUGUUUUUGUUCUUAUGCAAAAAAACAAAAUUUAAGCACUCAGCAGGGGUUAUUUUCUGAAUUGUGGUUCUCCAGAACUAUGAGAAAAUACAUUUCUGUUGUUUAAGUCCCCCAGUCUUUGACAUACUGUUCUGGCAACCUGAGCAGACUAAAUCACACAAGGCAAGAAGGUUUCUUUUUUCUUCCUUUUUUGGCUUAUCUAUAUUUCUAUAUUUUAUCCAAAAAAUAUACUAUAUAAUAUUAAAAGAUGGUAUAAAUUUUAUUAAACAGUAUUAGGAUUCUUUCAGUGCAUACAAAUGAUUCAGUAAGAAAUUCAUCAUUAGUAAAAUCAGUUAUUCAAACAUUGUGAUUACCUUGGCAUAUCUUCAUUAAUUCUCUCCAUACACUAAUUAUUUGGCCUACAAUUAGACUUAACAGAACAUAUUAAAUCCUUCUUUCCUUGAAUGUCAAAGAUUGAUAAGGUGUCUAAAUAUACUACUGAAAGACAGACUUGUUUUUCUCCCAACUACAGUUAUUAUUUGGAAACAAUGACCAUUUUAAUCAUUAUAUUUCCAAUUAGAGUAAUUAGCAUUCUGCCUUAGACACACAUGCCUAAUAAUGGUAGAAAUAAAUAUUUUUCUUGCAUUAUGAGACAUUUUCUAAUUAUCUUACCUAUCUAGCCUAUUUCCCUCUUCUGCCAUCAAAUUUCUAAGAAACAGUUUACUCCUUUUUCUUUUGUUAUAAUAAUAUCUAACCAUAAACCAGAAAUGAGGUCAUAAGUUCCUCCAUGGCAAUAUGUGAUAUCUCAUUCUUACACACACACAAUUUUUUUUUGUCAGUUUUAUCUUCAUCACCUCAAUAUUCCGUGUUAACACUGGGUAUGCUGGUGAGGGGAGGAAUGGAGGAAGCAAGGCCCAUGUUUCAUGAAUGGCAAGUUGUCUUUGUGGCAGCAAAGGGUUUGAACAAUCCUGGGCUUUGAGGAAUGUGAAGAGAGCUGAAAAGUAUUUGGUAGCAGGAAAUUUAUCCAAACGCACAGAAAUCCACAAUAAGAGUAAAUAGAACACUCAAAAUAACUAAGCCUGUAUUGCACAUUCAUCACUUGAGCUACCUGCCAUGUCUGAGCACUUUCUGGACAUUAUGAUAAUUCCCCACAUUGCAUGUCUCACCUUCCCAAAGAGGAAGCCAGGAAACCUGUAUUCCCAGAUUCCCUGCAUUAGGGGGCAGGCACGACCCAGCUUCUUCUAAUCAGGCUAUCCUUGGGAGACAGAUCUGAAGGGAACCCUGGGAGGCAGGUGUUCCUAGGAAUACUGCUCUUUUGUCAAGCCAGGUGGUGGAAGGAUCCCGUUCUUGGGGGGCAGGGAGUGGCAGUGUUUCUGGAAUCUAGUCCUGAGCAUCAUAAGUGACAUGAGCUAGUGUCAGUGGUAUUUCUGCUUAGGAAAGAGUGGUUGGCUAUUGCUCAUGGAUGUUCAGAUUUAUUGUUGGAUCAUCAGACCCUACCAGUUCCGUGAACUACCUAAUAUCCUCUCACCAAUUGCAUUUCUGCUCAAAUUUGCAAAGGUGGAUUCUCCAGGCUACAGUUAAGCACUUUGCCCAAUAUAUUAUCCCAGUUGUAACACUCUUUCCCUUUUCAAAGCAAAACAAAACAAAGCCCAACCCUAGUAAAAAUUUUCUGCUCAUGUUUAAUUAUCACAAAGACAAACUCUAUUUAUAGAUACCAAUAAGAAAGUUUUACAUGUAAAUCAAUGCUAUUUAUCUAUUUACAGACCUUUAGUAAAACAAACAAACGAACAAACAAACAAACAAACAAAACCUCUGGCUAAAACACUUCUCUCUCUCUGCAGUGAUCAGCAGAAUACAUUCUUCCUGUUUCCUUGGUUUCACAAGUAAUACAAGAAAUCAAACAGAACUUGUAAUGUUGACAACUUCUUCAUUAACAAAUGUUUGAUCUCUGCAAAGCCUCUAUUCAUUUAUUGGGUGCUUAAUCACUUAUUUUCCUGUUAUGCAAACGUCCUGAAAUUCUAUUUCACGUUGCAUGCAAUAUUGACUAUCACACAAAUACCUAGGGAGCAGCCCAUGAAUAUUCUCAAUGUAAACAUAAAGGCCAGCAGGUGAAUAUUUUUAUUAGGAGCAAUGUGUAUCCAGAGUGAAGGAAGGAAAGAAUACAGAGAGACUGAACAGUGAAAGGGCUGUAAUUAGGCCACUGCCCUCUGGGACAAUAGAUGAGUUUCAGAAUCAAGUGGCUGAAACUGGAAUUACCUUUCCAGCUUUACUGAGAUACGUUUGACCGAAAAUGUUAUGCACAUUUAAGGUGUUCAACAUGAUGAUUUGAUAUAAGUUUAUGUUGCCAAACUGGACUUAAACAAGAUUUUAGGUGCUAAAUAAGCAUUUCAUCAUAUGCUACAGCGAUUAUAUUUCAAAUAUAACUUCCAUUUUCUGCUUCAUGGGAUAGAUAGUGUACCAUCUAAACAUUUAUAUUUUGUGAAGGUUAUUUUUUGCUAAAAUUUAUUGGAUAUUUAGUACAAGCCAGAAUCAAGAUUUUGCAUCCCAUAACUCAUUUAUUUCUCCUGACAGCACAAGGCAAAUACUGUUAACCCUAUUUUAGGGAUACAGUGAUUCCCGGACUGGUUAAUCCUCCAAGGUAAUACAACUACUAAAUGAUAUUAGUACGUCUGCCCCCAGAUCUGUUAGACACCAAAACUCCCUAGACUGAAUUACAAAGGUUAUGCAGCAACAUGGAAAUAGUGCUUAUGGUUUUAUAUUACAUGCCCCUCCCAAAAAAGAAUAGGAAAUUGUAUACACAGUAUGAUGCAACUAUGAAACGUCAUACACAUAUGGACAAAAGCCUGGAAAGGAGCACAUGUCACGUGCUACUCAUUUUUUUUUCUUUUAUAUGACUGCAUCCGUGGCAUAUGGAAGUUCCCAGGCUAGGGGUCAAAUAUGAGCUGCAGCUGCUAGACUACGCCACAGCCAAGGCCACAGCCACAGCAACCCCAGAUCUGAGCAGCAUCUGCAACCUGUGCCGCAACUUGUGGUAAAGCCAGAUCAUUAACCCUCCGAGGGAGGCCAGGAAACAAAUCCUCAUGGACACUGUGUUAGGUUUUUAACAUGAGCCAAAAUGGGAACUCCAGCCCGCUCAUUUGUGUCCAAGAAACCAAGAGAAUGAGGAGACAGUCUUUAAAAGCAAACAAGAUGAAAGAAUGACUGAAUGAGUGUGUGCAUGUGUGUGUAACACAUAAAUGGUUAAGGAAAAAAGGGAACUUGCACUCCAUUCCUAAACACGUAGAAAAUACACAGACUUAGGACUCACAGACUCUAUGCAGUUGAGUACUGGGGUUAUUGUUUUUCCCCCGUAUUUUUUUUUCCAAAUGUUUUUGAAAGCUGCUACAUUGUUUUUAAAAUAGAGAAGAACAAGGCAUACACAGAAGCAGAAAGGUUCAGGCUUUCAGCCCCUGAGAAGUGCUGAGCUUGUAAAGGCUGAGGAAACCAAGGUCAGUCCCACCCCACUGCCUCCAGGGCAACUGCUAGGCUCUGCUUAAAGCUGAAGCCAAGUUUGGAUGGAGAGUCCAUAAGGUCACUGAGCAAACAGAUUUAAAAGGUCACAGUGUCUUGCUGACAGAGACCAGCAGAAAGGUAAACAUCCCCUCAUUCCAGGAAGAGAAAUAUGUUACCCUAGGAUCCUACAGAUGGAUACUUCUAUGACUGUUACGAAAUUCGUGGUUAUUUUUUUAAAUCGGUGACUUUUCAGUCUCUGAACCUCUGGGGUUAAGGUCACCAUGCCUCGCCAGCUAACAGACUUAACCUCUGGUACCACCGCACUGUAACAGGAGCAGCAGCUUGUGCCCUCUUACUCCCUGAAGGGUAAACAAUGGAGAGAGAGAAAUCAGAUGAGAUGCAAUUGGAGAAGAGAGGAAUGAAGGAUCAAAGGCGGCUCCCUGAAGGAGCUGUGCCUGAAGUUAGGCCAUGAAAAAUAAUGCGAAUACUUGGAGAAAGGGUAGAGAGCUCUUCUAAGUUGACAGAGAAUAAAUAGAGCACAAAGACCUAGAGAAAAGGAAGUUCAAGGCUAGCAUUUCUCUGAAGUUUCAUCUAUCUUUGAUAAUCAUAAUUAUUUUUAAUUUCUCAAAAACUGGGAUGGGGAGUUCCCCUUGUGGCGCAGCAGAAAUGAAUCCAACUAGUAUUUGAUCCCUGGCCUCGUUCAGUGGGGAUCCGGUAUUGUCGUGAGCUGUGGUGUAGGUCGCAGAUGUGGCUUGGAUCCCAAGGUGCUGUGGCUGUGAUGUAGGCUGGCAGCAGUAACUCUGAUUUGACCCCAGCUGGGAACUUCCAUGUAAUGCAACUGUGGCCCUCAAAAGCAAAAAACAAACAAACAAACCCAAAAAAACAAGGAUGACAUGUUAGAUACCAUAUAAUCAGUUACAGACAGGUGAUCCUUCAGUUCCAGUAGCUAAUAUUCUUCAGUAAACAUUUAAGGUUUAUUAGGAAGAACAGAUAAAAACCUUUAAGUACUUGCAUUAUAUGUAACAGGGUAAAGAUUUUGACUUAUGCUUUGAGAAAGGAAAACCUCAGUAUCAUACAGUGGUCUAUAAUGGUUUGGCUUGGUAGGAAUAGGAAUAUUGAGACAAACUGGAUUAUAGUCAUCAACAGUCUAAUAAUCAUGUCCAAGAUGGACCAGGACUGAAGCAUAAUCACCCACAAGGGGGAGUGGCGGCUCACCUCUCAGAUGGUCUCAAGGCUCCCUGCCUUCCAGUAUUUACACCCUGUGUAGUUCCUUUCCACAUUAACCAGGGUCGGUCUGUGUGGCCAACAGAAUACAGCAGAGGUAAAGGUAUGUCACUCCUGAGAUGACGUUACAGAAGACACUGGCUUCUGCCGGUCUCUCUUGCAUUCUUGGAACACUUAUUCUGGGAAAAACCAGCUCACAUAUCAUGAGCAGUUCUGUGAAGAGACCCAUAUGGUGAGGAACUGAAAUCUCCUGCAAAUAGCCACAUGAAUAACCUUGGAAACAAUCCUGCAGGCUUGGAUGGCAGCUUGACUUUGCAGCGAUCUCAUGAGAGACCUAAGUCAGAAAGACAAAGCUAAACUACUCCUGGAUUCGCAGACCUCAGAAACUGUGAUAAUAAAUGUCUGCUGUUUGAAGGUGCCAGACUUGGGGGUAAUUUGUAACUUACAUCAAGAGAAUAGUGGACACUGUGGGUUCCCAUGGGGGGUACAUUCAUAAGACAUCAUCUAAGACAGGAAUAAGCAAGGUCACACAGCAGAGCCAUAAUUUAGGAGUUGGUAAGAGCAAUGAGGAAGCAGCAGGGCUGGUGAUUCUGAUUCUCUAACCUCAACAAACACCUGUUAAACAAAUGAGCUCAUGUGCCCAACUUCUCUCCCCAGAUCUUUUCACAAAGAUCUGGAUCUUCUACCAGAUUUUAAUGAGUAUCACUCACUUUUCUGUUGUUUCAGAGUCAUGAUUACAAAUAAAAAGUUGUGUGACCUCAGAGAUUCUUACUCUUGAAUGUCUGGACUCUGCUGUGGCACCUUUGGGAGAGGGGACGUCAGUAACUCGUGCUCUUGGGGAGCACUCAGAAAUGAAUCCUGACUACUUUAUCUGAAUACCAUGGGCUGUGGCAAAUCUAGAGGUCCUCACUGUUGGUUCUGGAGUUCCUCUGGGGCCUCCGAUCUCCUCUUCAUGCCUAAUAUUUAGACUAGCUGACAUUUUAAGUAGCUUUGUUACCAACCCUUUGCUAAACCUUUCAUAUGAAUUUUGUUAUUUAAUCAUUAUGACCAUCUUGUUACCUAGAUACUAGUAUAAUUCUCACUUUAGAGAUAAGGAAACUGAGGCAAUGAAAGGUUAUAUUGUAAGUGUC